RNAcentral lists this ribosomal RNA (191 nucleotides) under uncultured Flavobacteriales bacterium. RNAcentral describes it as "partial 16S ribosomal RNA". It matches the Rfam family "Bacterial small subunit ribosomal RNA", at positions 335 to 523 of the family's 1533-position model. The record is from RNAcentral. Lineage: Bacteria; Pseudomonadati; Bacteroidota; Flavobacteriia; Flavobacteriales.
ACUCCUACGGGAGGCAGCAGUGAGGAAUAUUGGACAAUGGGCGGUAGCCUGAUCCAGCCAUGCCGCGUGCAGGAAGACUGCCCUAUGGGUUGUAAACUGCUUUUGUACUGGAAGAAUCAGCGCUUCGUGUUGCGCGGUGACGGUACCGUAAGAAUAAGGAUCGGCUAACUCCGUGCCAGCAGCCGCGGUAA